This is a long non-coding RNA of Eptesicus fuscus (big brown bat), 514 nucleotides long. RefSeq lists it as uncharacterized. The record is from RefSeq and is a predicted model, not a curated record. Lineage: Eukaryota; Metazoa; Chordata; Mammalia; Chiroptera; Vespertilionidae. The transcript has 3 exons.
GAUCUGGGUGAUGGUUAGUGGGUAUUUUUGUCAAGCUGUUCACUUAAGGGAUAUAUGUUUUCUUUCUUUUUUGUUAAUCCUCACUGAGGAUUUUUUUUCAUUGAUUUUUUUAGAGAGAGUGGAAGAGAGGAGGAGAGACACACAGAGAGAAACAUCGAUGUGAGAGAAACACAUCAAUUGGUUGCCUCCCACAUGUGCCCUGACCCGGGCCGAGGAUUGAGUCUGCAACUGAGGAGACCCCAGAUCAGGGAAGACUGGACAGAAUCUGAUCCUUGAAGGAUGGCGUGUUAUAUGGGACCAGGUGUAAGCCUUUGCUUUCAGAAGACCAGGCCACAGAAGGCUCUUCCAGUCCUAUUUACCCGCUCUGGGGCCAUGAGUGUUUUCAGAGAGCCUUGGGCAGUAAGUUCCCCGGGAUGUGACUCACAUGGCCUGCUAGGGGCUGCUGCUUCAGCCCUGAUUCUGGAUCAAGAUGACAUGAAACAGACCCAGCUAAGCUGAGAGAGGCAUAAAUAUG